UACAGAGGCCUCAAGCGUUAGGCGGAAUCACUGGGCUUAAAGAGUGUGUAGGCGGAUCGUUAAGUGCCUUGUGAAAUCCCACGGCCUAACUGUGGAACGGCUGGGCAUACUGGCGGUCUUGAGCCAUCUAGGGGCGACUGGAACAAACGGUGGAGCGGUGAAAUGCGUAGAUAUCGUUUGGAACGCCAAUGGUGAAAACAGGUCGCUGGGGAUGAGCUGACGCUGAGACACGAAAGCCAGGGGAGCAAACGGG
RNAcentral lists this ribosomal RNA (253 nucleotides) under uncultured bacterium. Its description in RNAcentral is "partial 16S ribosomal RNA". It matches the Rfam family "Bacterial small subunit ribosomal RNA", at positions 524 to 776 of the family's 1533-position model. The record is from RNAcentral.